GUGCUUGCCUCGGCAGCACGUGUACUAGAAUUGGAAGGAUACGGAGAAGAUUAGCAUGGCCCCUGCGCAAGGAUGACAUGCACAUUCAUGAAGCGUUCCGUAUUUUU
RNAcentral lists this small nuclear RNA (107 nucleotides) under Propithecus coquereli (Coquerel's sifaka). The record is from RNAcentral. Lineage: Eukaryota; Metazoa; Chordata; Mammalia; Primates; Indriidae.